Molecule: unclassified non-coding RNA, 1915 nt
Filed under: Dimorphilus gyrociliatus
Lineage: Eukaryota; Metazoa; Annelida; Polychaeta; Dinophilidae
Description: hypothetical protein
Source: RNAcentral
AUAUUUAGCCUGUGUAUUCCUGUAAAACAGACUGAUCACGAAUUGUAGAAUUUUGGAAGAAACGGCGUCACAAUUCAAUAAAAUACCACGAGUAUUAAGACUCGGAGAAAAAAAAUAUCCUUGGGAAAAAAAGGUCGGAGUGUUCCUUUUCUUUAUUUGUUUUUUUUUUAGGUUAAAGGUCGUUUUAUACUUUUCUUUUUUUAUAAUGACUUAUUUUUAUAUUGUUCCCUUUUUUUGUUUUUUGUUUUUUAGAAUUAGCGGAAAUGAAUAAAGAAAAGAAGGAAAGAUUAACGAAUGUUAUUCGUCGCCUUAUAACGUUUAGAUCUUGUAAAGUCGGAUCAAUGUCUUAUUGCUCUCUGGCUAAGAAAGGCUUUUAUUUUAAUUCGGAGAUUAAUGUCAUUGAGUGCCACGAGUGUGGAAAAUUAUAUUCGGCUUGGAAAGAUGAUGUAAAUCAUUAUGCAUUUUGUAGCUAUGGUACAGAACCGUUUCCGCGUUUAGUUAAAACUACGAGAUAUGAUGCGGAUAGUUUUAGACAUUUUCCCAGUCCGCAGCCGGUUCUUGCCGUUCCAAAGAAUAUGAGCGAAUCUGAUAGCGAAUCUGAAGAAAAUGAUAAUUUAAACUCUGACCAAGAAAAUGAACGUCGACAAACGGAAAAGGAAUCGGAAAGUUACCAAGAAGCGCUUUUCAAGUAUCAGGAAGCGAUGAGAAAACUUGACAAUGAUAUUCCUUUACGGACAUUGCUUCGUAAUGAUUUGACUAUACAGAUGAACCGUUAUAAAACAUUUUCCACUACGUGCGCUCCCUGGCCUUGGAGAGGCGUAAUCCCAGGACGAGAAUUAGCGAGAUGCGGCUUCUUCUUUUGUGGUGAUACGGAUCGUGUUCAAUGCUUUAGUUGUGGAAUUACUCUUAGGAAAUGGAGUUAUGGCGAUAUGCCUUUUGAGGUUCAUCUAAAAAAUUCGCCGUCUUGUCGUCACGUUAAGAAAUUAGUUGAUGAUAGAAAUCCAUUUAUCUAAAAACAAAAAGAAAAACAGGAAAGAGGAAAAAAACAACAUCUAAUUAAAUCUCUAAAUAUUUAAGAUUCAAACCUUUGGAGUUGUUUGCAAUGAGUUGUGUUGUUAUGAUUUGACAUUGGUUAAGGCAAAUAAAUAUUACAGUGAUGUUACCGGUUAGAUAUUUAAAUUUAUUUGUCUUACCGGUAUUCAUUUCUGUUUUAAAAAAAUUCUAAAACUUCCGGUUUCAAUUUUUAUAUUUUUUAGGAAUCGUUCCAUGAUCACGUGAUUAAUAAUUCCAUAGCUAGGACGAGAUUAGAGAAGCUGAUGAAAUUAUUCCAAUUUUAGAAGGUAUAAUAAAUAUAUUGAUUUCUUUUAAAGAUAAACAUUCGAAUAUCGACAAGAAACAGAUACAUAUUAUAUUUCAUAAGCUAAAUAGACAGUUUGGACAAAAAAGCGAAAAAAUUGAUGGAAUUUAAAAACAAACACAAAAAAGUAAAACGAUUUAGAAUAGAAUUAUUAAUAUUAACGUUUGAAGAUGAUAUAUCUAAAACUAAUAGGGUCGGCUAAUAGAGGUGGAUUUAUAGCUUAAGUUAUAUAUCAUAUAAUAGUAAUUCCUUAAAAAGAGCAAGUUUAGCCACCAGAUGACGACACAGUAGAAAUAUAAUAUUCAUCCUAUUGUCUUUGUUUUUUUUCUGUUUUAUCCCCAUAAGGCUGUGCCCACGCCUUUCAGGUGGUGGAAAUUAUUGUUUCUGAGACUUUUCGAUUGUUUCUCCUUUGUUUGCGGGAAAAUCUAUAAUCCCUUGAUAUAUUUUAUUGUAAGUUACGCGCGCCUAAUGUUAUAUAUUCUGUAUUGUUUUCCCCAAAUAUCGAAUAUUGCCACAAUAAAAAUACAAAAUUAAUAAACUAUAUCGUAUGGAAAUGGA